Meriones unguiculatus (Mongolian gerbil) is the source of this 670-nucleotide long non-coding RNA. RefSeq lists it as uncharacterized. Lineage: Eukaryota; Metazoa; Chordata; Mammalia; Rodentia; Muridae. The record is from RefSeq and is a predicted model, not a curated record. The transcript is spliced from 4 exons.
CCUUAUUCCCCAGUCAUCAGUGGCGUCAUCCAGCGUGCUCUGGAAAGAGAAGUGAGGCACCACGGCUCCUGUCCAGAUGCCCAGAGCAGCCGCAGCCACUGGGAUGUGGUGUAGGAAACAGGAAAUUGCUCCAGCAGUGAAUCAUCACCGGGGAAUUUUGUUCACUUGGGGUGUAGCAGCAGAUCCAUUACAUCACAGUAUGUGAUCUUGUUUCCAAAUGCAGCCGAGUGCUGAGGUACUGACAUCCAAGGCUUUAGCAUCUGAAUUUGGGGACAAUGCAUUUUUACCUCAUAAUAACAUCUACGAGUACAAGGGCCUUCUCUGCUGUGACAAAUGUGUUGCUGUCAAGCAUGUGCUAAAGUAAACCCUUCCUCCCUCAAGAAGGAAAGGAAAAGAUUCUUUUAAAGACUCAUGUUAAGAAGUUGCUUGGUGUGAGGAGCAGCUCAGUGAGGAAGCUCUUGCUGUGUGAGCACAGGGUGCUGCAUUCAACUCACAGCACCGUGUCAGAAGCUGCGACGGCUGAAGAGAUGGCCUCACCGAGUUGCUCCUGCCCAGGACCUUGGCUUAGUUCCUGGCACCCACAUAGGGUGGCUCACACCCACCUGAGCUCCAGCUCCAGGAGCUCUACCACCAUCUUCUGGCUUCCGUGGGUUCCUGCACACACAAACUC